AUGAGGCUGCGAAGCCUCGAGGUUAUGAGACCACUGCUGUGAGUUUUGCCCAAAUCUUUACAUGCCCAGUUGGUCUCAGCAAGACACCAUUAACUUACAGAGGAAGAAGAAAGGAGCCCCAUCUGGAGCUUAGAAAGCACAAAUCUGCCAUUCUCUCUUCGCAGGCUGGGGCCGUCUGAACAGAAGGUAGCAAGGAGUUGCCAUAUUCUGGCUCACAUCUCUGAUCGCAGCCAGGAACCAGCACCAGCGACGCUAACAGAAGGUGCAAUAAGAAGCUGCCUGAUGGCAAAUGAUCCAUGACUCCACGGAAAUAUCCUAGCACCUGGAGAUCAGUUCAAACCCUGGAGCAGGAGGUCUCAUCUCCCUUGCAAAUAACUCAGAAGCACUAACUGUGGACGUUGAGGAUAACCGUGUAAAUGUCCAGGUGUUGGCACGAGAGACGUACCCAGCUCUUCCUUUUAAUAACACGUUGCAUGGGGGGGGGAAAUACUGCUACUGAUUCUGAUUUUUUUUCCAAAUUCUGACAUAUUCUUCAUCGCUGAGCUGUGAUUAAUACUACUCUAUUAAAACCUCACAAAGUGCUUUCCAGAUAGAUAUUGUUAUUCACUUUACAGCAUGGGAAACCGAGGUGACAGCCAGCCAGCAGCGUGCACGCAGCCAGCAAGCACAUCGCCAGACCAAGACUCUGAAUCAUGGGCUGUGCUGCUUCCCUCCCCUGCAAACAACCCCAGCAUGCCCAGCAUAACAGUGGGUGAAAGCUGGGCUGCUGUGUGCUGUGGUUCACCAGAAGAACAGAGGAAUUCAGUGAUGAUGCAGAAAGAAACGGAAAAUCCCGUUGCAUAUCCAGGAGGGGAGAGAGACCAAAGGGGAAGGGAUAAUCAGAUGGAGAAAAAAAAAAAAUCUGAAAGAGCACCCAUCCCGGACACUUGAACUCCCUCAGCCGGAGAUCACACCAAAACUAGGCAGUGGGUGUUGCUGGGAGCAUCAAUCCCUUUUUCUUUCCCAUCUGGUUUUACUGCCAGAUUUUUAUUGCUCCUGCUUUCUGCAGGACACACAUCUCCUUAUGGCACAUCCAAAUGGCCUUAGAAAUAAAGGAAUGAGACCUCUCA
This 1109-nucleotide long non-coding RNA is filed under the name Anas platyrhynchos platyrhynchos (common mallard). RNAcentral's name for it is "lncRNA (ENSAPLG00000017141.1)". Lineage: Eukaryota; Metazoa; Chordata; Aves; Anseriformes; Anatidae. The record is from RNAcentral.